AUGGAGAAUCUGGUUCAUUGGCAAGUGAGCACUUCCACAGUUAAUGACACCAAGAGAGGUUUCCAAGUCAACUUUGAUGCCAAAAGAGCCAUCUUCUCCUCCACACCGAGUUUUGUGGAAGUCCCAAACAAAAUCUCUGCCACUGAGCAAAGGAAGAGGAGUCAAAUCAAGGCCGACAACAUAGAUGUCAUGCGCCAACCAUACAUCAGCGUCAAACCCCAGACUGAUGAUUCAGUGUUUUUAUUCGGCAACAGAAGGAAAGGGCAAGGGAGCGGCAUCACUGCUUCGCAAAAGGAUGUUUUGGUCAGGAAGGAGACACAACUCACAAGAAGAAAUCAGGAGGCACCUUCCAUGGCCUGUAUUUCAGCAGAUGCGUCAAGAAACAAGGUCAACAACUGUGAGUGAACAUCUCUAAUUUGAUCCCUUAACACUAUGUAACAAAAUUUGAAGCAUUUUCUGUUACUGGUUUGAAAGUGUUAUUUCCUGUUUAAUUGUGUGGCACUUACUUUGAAAAUAGUUGUUCUACUCCAGAAAGUUUGUUUUUUGUGGCUGCCACAAACUAGGUUGAAUGGGUUGAGACUCAAUGCGAUAUUUAUUGAAAAACUAUAGCAAAUGUGCUACAAAAACCAAAGUUUUUGCAAUUUUGGAAACUUUUCCCAUGUUCGUCUGAUAGAACCAAUUAGGAAACGACAUUUAUAACCCAGGAACAAAAAUUGUGUUAUAUCGUGUGAUCCUUUCUUUUCAUUGAGACACCAGAGGCACUCAAUAUCUAUCAAAAGCACAACAGGCAAAAAGAGGAGAGCAUGAGAAAGAGAGCAAAUGAAUUUUGCAGAUAGGAAUAUGAUGGCAAACUGAUAUCCAGGGCUAGAUUUGCCUAGAAAAAUAACUGACUCAUUUGUGGCACGAUUGAGCCAGUUUUGUUUAUAGUUUUGGAAGCAAUGCAAUAAAAAUAACCACAUGACGGAUUGAAGUGGUCAACACACGUUUUGGUGCUUCCAAUGUUAGACAUGUUUUGGGAUAUAUUUGACCUCCUAAUUCCAAAAAUAGCACCAAUUUCCCCCUCUCAGCUUUAAGUUUUGAGAUACAGAACUUAUGCCAUUUACUAGCCUUUAUUGGCUCGUCCACAUAAAACCAUGCUAACUUUAUGUCUCUAAGAAACUAUAGCUGAUGCUGCCUAUCGAAUACAAUUUUCUGAAUCAGUCUCCCAAAUAACCCCAGGAACAGGCCUAAAAACCAAGACACCAAGAGUUGGACUGUGUUAUUUUUCCCAAUGCAAAAGAGCCAUGUGAUCAACAUGAUAUCAUGGAGGAUUGUGCCAUUUAAGGAUGCAAAUUCUGGAGCAGUGGAUAAUGUUUACUAAUCAAUUUGAAACUUUAUUAUUUUGGAGCACUUUUAAAUUUUUUUAAUAUUUUAGAAGUCAAAACUAAUGAGUAACACAGCUUCCAAAUAACAAGCAACCAACUACCAAGUAACAAAACUAACAAGUAACGUAACAUCAGCGAAUCAAAUGAAACACUAUUACAUUAUCUCUAGAGGACAGUAUCAAAUCCUAAUAUUUCUUGGUCAGUCCUUUGUUGAAUAUUAUCUGUUAAAAUUUACUUAGAGGACACCAACUAUGGCAUUAUAACCUUUGCAAAGGCUUAGAUUGCCACCUGCUGGUGAAGGUGAUAUUUCAUUUUUAUUUUAUUAUUUAAGAAGGACUAAUAAAUAAAAGCAGACAAGCCAUGCUGGAUCACAGUAAAGAUCCAUUGAGCUCAACG
This is a long non-coding RNA of Anolis carolinensis (green anole), 1760 nucleotides long. The record is from Ensembl. Lineage: Eukaryota; Metazoa; Chordata; Lepidosauria; Squamata; Anolidae.